This 394-nucleotide ribosomal RNA is filed under the name uncultured bacterium. Its description in RNAcentral is "partial 16S ribosomal RNA". It matches the Rfam family "Bacterial small subunit ribosomal RNA", at positions 523 to 918 of the family's 1533-position model. The record is from RNAcentral.
AUACGGAGGAUGCAAGCGUUAUCCGGAUUUAUUGGGUUUAAAGGGUGCGUAGGCGGUUUGCUAAGCGGGAGGUGAAAUGCCGGCGCUCAACGUCGGAAGUGCCUCCCGAACUGGUGGACUGGAAUGACUCUGCCGUGGGAGGAAUGUGUAGUGUAGCGGUGAAAUGCAUAGAGAUCACACAGAACACCGAUUGCGAAGGCAUCUCACGAAGGGGUGAUUGACGCUGAGGCACGAGAGCGUGGGGAUCAAACAGGAUUAGAUACCCUGGUAGUCCACGCAGUAAACGAUGAUAACUAACCGCUGGGUCGUAGUGAUUCAGUGGCCAAGCGAAAGCGAUAAGUUAUCCACCUGGGGAGUACGACCGCAAGGUUGAAACUCAAAGGAAUUGGCGGGG